RNAcentral lists this transfer RNA (37 nucleotides) under Abudefduf sexfasciatus (scissortail sergeant). RNAcentral's name for it is "partial tRNA-Thr". The record is from RNAcentral. Lineage: Eukaryota; Metazoa; Chordata; Actinopteri; Pomacentridae.
GCAAUAGUAGCUCAACGCCAGAGCGCCGGUCUUGUAA